CGGGUGAGUAACGCGUGAGGAACCUGCCUCAAAGAGGGGGACAACAGUUGGAAACGACUGCUAAUACCGCAUAAGCCCACGGCUCGGCAUCGAGCAGAGGGAAAAGGAGCAAUCCGCUUUGAGAUGGCUCGCGUCCGAUUAGCUAGUUGGUGAGGUAACGGCCCACCAAGGCGACGAUCGGUAGCCGGACUGAGAGAUUGAACGGCCACAUUGGGACUGAGACACGGCCCAG
RNAcentral lists this ribosomal RNA (232 nucleotides) under uncultured bacterium. RNAcentral's name for it is "partial 16S ribosomal RNA". It matches the Rfam family "Bacterial small subunit ribosomal RNA", at positions 103 to 334 of the family's 1533-position model. The record is from RNAcentral.